UGAAUACGAGAUGCUACGGCGUCGAAGCAGUGUAUGUCAGACUUCCAAGAAAAGCUCGCAAUGUCAUAAAUAAAGAAUGCCUGUACCAUAACCGACACAGGUGGGUAGGUAGAGUAUACUAAGGGGCGCGAGAUAACUCUCUCUAAGGAACUCGGCAAAAUAACUCCGUAACUUCGGGAGAAGGAGUGCCUUCUUUAAGAAGGUUGCAAUAACAAGAUCCAAGCAACUGUUUAUCAAAAACACAGGUCUCCGCUAAGUCGUAAGACGAUGUAUGGGGGCUGACGCCUGCCCAGUGCCAGAAGGUUAAAGAAGUUGGUUAGCUUUUGCGAAGCUGAUGACUGAAGCCCUGGUGAACGGCGGCCGUAACUAUAACGGUCCUAAGGUAGCGAAAUUCCUUGUCGGGUAAGUUCCGACCCGCACGAAAGGCGUAAUGAUUUGGAUACUGUCUCGGAGAGGGACUCGGUGAAAUAGACUUGUCUGUGAAGAUGCGGACUACCUGCACCAGGACAGAAAGACCCUAUGAAGCUUUACUGUAACUUGAAAUUGAAAUUGGACUUUAUUUGCGCAGUAUAGGUGGAAGGCGUUGAAAGUAAUCUUGCGGGAUUAGUGGAGCCAUCAGUGAGAUACCACUCCUAUAAUGUUAGAUUUCUAACUUUGGAUCAUGAUCUGGUCAAAGAACAGUUUCAGGCGGGCAGUUUGACUGGGGCGGUCGCCUCCCAAAUGGUAACGGAGGCGUACAAAGGUUUCCUCUGAACGGGUAGAAAUCGUAUCUAGAGUGUAAAGGCAUAAGGAAGCUUGACUGUGAGACCUACAAGUCGAGCAGGGACGAAAGUCGGUCUUAGUGAUCUGACGGUGCUGAGUGGAAAGGCCGUCACUCAACGGAUAAAAGUUACUCUAAGGAUAACAGGCUGAUCUCCCCCAAGAGUUCACAUCGACGGGGAGGUUUGGCACCUCGAUGUCGGCUCAUCGCAUCCUGGGGCGGUAGUACGUCCCAAGGGUUGGGCUGUUCGCCCAUGAAAGCGGUACGCGAGCUGGGUUCAGAACGUCGUGAGACAGUUCGGUCCAUAUCCGGUGUAGGCGUUAGAAUAUUGAGAGGAGCCUUCUUUAGUACGAGAGGACCGAGAAGGACAUACCUCUGGUGUACCAGUUAUCGUGCCAACGGUAAACGCCGGGUAGCUAUGUAUGGAGAGGAUAACCGCUGAAAGCAUCUAAGUGGGAAGCCCACCUCAAGAUGAGUAUUCGC
This 1243-nucleotide ribosomal RNA is filed under the name metagenome. RNAcentral's name for it is "bacterial LSU rRNA". It matches the Rfam family "Bacterial large subunit ribosomal RNA", at positions 1564 to 2815 of the family's 2925-position model. The record is from RNAcentral.